Molecule: long non-coding RNA, 963 nt
Filed under: Volvox carteri
Lineage: Eukaryota; Viridiplantae; Chlorophyta; Chlorophyceae; Chlamydomonadales; Volvocaceae
Description: long non-coding RNA (VCAR_LNC002207)
Source: RNAcentral
CCGCAACGAACGAAGCUUUGGAUCCUGAAACGGAAGCGUUCGAAAAAAUGCUCCGUUUGUAACCCUGCCUGUGAACUCUUGACUCGCUCGGCGAUGACGUACUCUCGCCUGAAAGGCGGGCGGAUGGAUGGCGGGCAUGGCAACCGCAAAUAUACUGGGAAGUUAAUAAAGCGCUUAGGAUGCAAAUAUACAUUGAACCGCACUUUGCUCCGAUAGACGGAAAUAACAGCAACCAAGACGCAGCUAAUUUACUUGGAAAACCCGCGGUUCGAUUCCGGCCUUGGGAUGCCGCGGCGUCGCGCGGAGUCGGCCCCAUAGAACGAUGAAUCACUGUCAGCCUCCGAAACACAGGUGCCGUGCUAGCCAUACAUGCCAAUGUCUGCUCCCAGGCGGAUGCAUUGGCCGAACCCCGUCCGACUCCCCACCUUCCCUGCUUCUGCAGGAGCAUUAGCACACAAUACUCCUGCUAAAACACAGACCCGUCGAGAACCCGAGAGUCAACCACAAGCAUCACGGCAUCGUCGAGCGCCAGCAGCACAGUAAGCAGUGUUAAGCAUACGAAACCCUGAGUAGAUGUAAGCAUACAAACGAACUUGAGGCGCUUCCACUCGUAUGUACGCCGCAAAAAGCUUGAACAGCCACAAGUGCGCACAGGCUUAUGACUGCAGCAUAAUGCAAGAAGCGUAAGGACCAAGUGGAAUACAGGAUAACCGCCCGAGAUGUGUGGAUGGGUGCGGCGGCUGAUAAAUCGCUAUGCUUACCACUGCUGCCGCCUUGCCCAUGCACAUCGACCUGGCGAGGACGGGUUCUGACGAUGAUAAAGCAUUUUUGGGAAUGCCAAGCUGCGCAGCCAGCAGGGCGCUAUAGGGGCACAUUGCAUGUUUACCAGUGUGGAAGACUGAGCGGGCGAUUCUGCGAUACACAUCCACCCCUUGCUGGGGGGUUUGAAGCUCAAGCUGGUCG